CAGGUUACCAUAUGGAAGUGCAGAUCCAAUGGGGAGAGAGAACGAGGUUCCCUUGUCCCAUUCUGCCCUGCAGUGCCGAGGCAUUAUAGAGUAAUCAACAGAAGCAAGUUGCUUUAGAUUCAGACAUUACCUGGAUUCCCAAUCUUUCAAUCCAUGAUACUUGGCUUUUUUUGUGCUCAGAUAUUAGAGCAAAGCUUUUCCUGUUCUUCCUGUUUAUUUAAAGAUUCUGCAGUGAAUUCAAGGUAAGACCAUUUUUAACUACUUAUCUAUGUGAAUCAGAAUGGUCUUGCCAUUGUGCAACCAAAGUAAAAAAAAAAAGUAGAAAGUUAGAAGUUGACAUGGAUUUAAAAUUCUCAUUUCUAAUUUUGUGUUAAUUGGAAAAACUUAAUUAUUCUCAAUAACUGACUUUAUAAUAAGUACAUAUUAUAAUUUACUUAAAAAAACCUUUAUACCAAAAAUGACUCACUGUUUUGUUUUGUUUUCUGUUUUAAAUAUUGAAGUUUCAUGUAAGGUUUCCUUUGGAGCUAAAAAAGGC
Molecule: long non-coding RNA, 535 nt
Filed under: Capra hircus (goat)
Lineage: Eukaryota; Metazoa; Chordata; Mammalia; Artiodactyla; Bovidae
Description: lncRNA (ENSCHIG00000001433.1)
Source: RNAcentral